CCCUUAGAUGUUCGGGGCCGCACGCGCGCUACACUGAAGGACUCAGCGUGUCUCUCCCCCUAUCCCGAAAGGGAUGGGCAACCCGUUGAACCUCCUUCGUGCUAGGGAUUGGGGUUUGCAAUUAUCCCCCAUGAACGAGGAAUUCCCAGUAAGCGCGGGUCAUCAGCUCGCGUUGAUUACGUCCCUGCCCUUUGUACACACCGCCCGUCGCUACUACCGAUUGGAUGGUUUAGUGAGACCCUCGGAUCGGUCCCGACUCGGGGUGGGCUUCUGCCCCGGUCGUGGUUUCGCCGAGAAGACGGUCAAACUUGACUAUCUAGAGGAAGUAAGAGUCGUAACA
This 340-nucleotide ribosomal RNA is filed under the name uncultured eukaryote. RNAcentral describes it as "partial 18S ribosomal RNA". It matches the Rfam family "Eukaryotic small subunit ribosomal RNA", at positions 1470 to 1796 of the family's 1831-position model. The record is from RNAcentral.